UGGGAUAGAUCAGUUCUCACAUCCUUGCUU
RNAcentral lists this non-coding RNA (30 nucleotides) under Mus musculus (house mouse). Lineage: Eukaryota; Metazoa; Chordata; Mammalia; Rodentia; Muridae. The record is from RNAcentral.